AAGCGCCUGUGACCAGACUUGCGCCCCGUGGACCACCCGGCGUUCUCGCCGGUGCACUCCGCGGGGCGCAGGCCAGCAUCGGUUUUCCUAGGGGGACAAAGGCCGCGGGAACGUAGCUCCUUCGGGAGUGUUAUAGCCCGCGGCGGCAUGCCCCUGGGGGGACCGAGGACCGCGCUUCGGCAAGGAUGCUGGCGUAAUGGUCACCAGCGA
This 210-nucleotide ribosomal RNA is filed under the name Sporothrix sp. RNAcentral describes it as "partial large subunit ribosomal RNA". The record is from RNAcentral. Lineage: Eukaryota; Fungi; Ascomycota; Sordariomycetes; Ophiostomatales; Ophiostomataceae.